Molecule: unclassified non-coding RNA, 322 nt
Filed under: fungal sp.
Lineage: Eukaryota; Fungi
Description: partial internal transcribed spacer region
Rfam family: Eukaryotic small subunit ribosomal RNA (bases 1-46)
Source: RNAcentral
AAGUCGUAACAAGGUAACCGUAGGUGAACCUGCGGUUGGAUCAUUACCAAAUAUCCAACGGGCCCGCUCGCAAGAGCGAGCUCUACCCACCUCUUGUGCAACGUAACGUUUUUGGCGGGAGCCUAGCAAUUUAAGCAGCUUGCUGCUUAAUAAGCAAAGGCCUUGCGGGGAGCUUUCAUUAGCUUUCUGACCGUCAAUAUAUCACACACACCAUACCCUACUCAACAACACCUGACGCUAACAUGUUAACGAGUGAGCUUACACUCACCUCAAUGACUAGAAUAACGAAAAACAACUUUUGACAACGGAUCUCUUGGCUCUC